RNAcentral lists this ribosomal RNA (495 nucleotides) under uncultured bacterium. RNAcentral describes it as "partial 16S ribosomal RNA". It matches the Rfam family "Bacterial small subunit ribosomal RNA", at positions 28 to 507 of the family's 1533-position model. The record is from RNAcentral.
GACGAACGCUGGCGGCGUGCCUAAUACAUGCAAGUCGAACGCUGAAGGAGGAGCUUGCUUCUCUGGAUGAGUUGCGAACGGGUGAGUAACGCGUAGGUAACCUGCCUGGUAGCGGGGGAUAACUAUUGGAAACGAUAGCUAAUACCGCAUAAGAGUAGAUGUUGCAUGACAUUUGCUUAAAAGGUGCAAUUGCAUCACUACCAGAUGGACCUGCGUCGUAUUAGCUAGUUGGUGGGGUAACGGCUCACCAAGGCGACGAUACAUAGCCGACCUGAGAGGGUGAUCGGCCACACUGGGACUGAGACACGGCCCAGACUCCUACGGGAGGCAGCAGUAGGGAAUCUUCGGCAAUGGACGGAAGUCUGACCGAGCAACGCCGCGUGAGUGAAGAAGGUUUUCGGAUCGUAAAGCUCUGUUGUAAGAGAAGAACGAGUGUGAGAGUGGAAAGUUCACACUGUGACGGUAUCUUACCAGAAAGGGACGGCUAACUACGUG